GAUGAACGCUGGCGGCGUGCUUAACACAUGCAAGUCGAACGGAAAGGCCCAAGCUUGCUUGGGUACUCGAGUGGCGAACGGGUGAGUAACACGCGGGUGAUCUGCCCUGCACUUCGGGAUAAGCCUGGGAAACUGGGUCUAAUACCGGAUAGGACCGCACCGUGAGGGUGUGGUGGAAAGUUUUUCGGUGUGGGAUGGGCCCGCGGCCUAUCAGCUUGUUGGUGGGGUAAUGGCCUACCAAGGCGGCGACGGGUAGCCGGCCUGAGAGGGUGGACGGCCACAUUGGGACUGAGACACGGCCCAGACUCCUACGGGAGGCAGCAGUGGGGAAUAUUGCACAAUGGGCGGAAGCCUGAUCCAGCCAUGCCGCGUGAGUGAUGACGGCCUUAGGGUUGUAAAGCUCUUUCGCACGCGACGAUAAUGACGGUAGCGUGAGAAGAAGCCCCGGCUAACUUCGUGCCAGCCGCCGCCGUAA
RNAcentral lists this ribosomal RNA (475 nucleotides) under uncultured bacterium. Its description in RNAcentral is "partial 16S ribosomal RNA". It matches the Rfam family "Bacterial small subunit ribosomal RNA", at positions 28 to 523 of the family's 1533-position model. The record is from RNAcentral.